Molecule: non-coding RNA, 29 nt
Filed under: unclassified sequences
Description: L19-Flavobacteria ribosomal protein leader
Rfam family: L19-Flavobacteria ribosomal protein leader
Source: RNAcentral
CAACCGCUGGCGUAAUUACGUGGAUGUUG